GAUCACUACCACCAUCAGAAUGAGUCGCCGAUGCGUCGCAAUCGCUGCCCCCUAUCGGAGCUAGACUAGCCUUAUCGAUCAUGGCCAAGAAAUCGUCAUGCACGUGUAACUAAGGACUAACAUCAUAGAGUCGUAAUCGUUGUUAUUGAACCCUUGAAUCGAUAUGAAGCGCCUAACAUCAUACCACCAUCUUGAAUCCUUGAAUCGAUAUGAAGCGCCUAACAUCAUACCACCAUCUUGAACCCUUGAACCGGUAUGAAGCGCCUAGCAUCAUACCACCAUCGCCCAGAACCUCACUGCCCCAAGAGACAACGGGAAUCUACGCUGGAGCUUAAUUGAAUCCAUCCAGACAAACAAACUCGGAAAGGAUCAGAGCACGGAAGACGAGCUCGAAUCCAUGGGCUCAUCGGCAGAGUCCGAAGGGGAAAAACUGACCCCUAGCCACCGCUAACGUGGUCCACUUAAAUGCAUACAGAUUCCUUCAAAAACAUAUGAAAUCAUUUACUUGCAGGAAACAAACCCAAAUGAACAGCUAAGAACAUGGAUAUGUAUAGUUCACAACAAAAAUAGAAUCAACUGCAGUAUCAACAGGAAAGCCUUCAAAAUACAUCAGUGCAACAAGAACCCUCUUUUUCCAUCGAAACUCGUCAAUGCGAAAAGAACCCCAAAUCCCAUUGUUCCAGAAGGCGUUGUAAUUUCCCCCGUUGAAAUGCCACACCGUAGCCGUCAGGUUCAAAUGGGCCUCGAGCAAAUUUCACAUGAUCCCAGUUUUGACAUCUAUGAAGGGGAGCCUUGGCGCAGUGGUAAAGCUGCUGCCUUGUGACCAUGAGGUCAUGGGUUCAAGUCCUGGAAACAGCCUCUUACAGAAAUGUAGGGAAAGGCUGCGUACUAUAGACCCAAAGUGGUCGGACCCUUCCCUGGACCCUGCGCAAGCGGGAGCUACAUGCACCAGGUUUGCCAGUUUUGACAUCUAUCAUCAUCUCUUUAUAUGAAAUCCUUGUGAAGUCACAAUACAGUCUCUUGCCGCUGCUACAGAAAUUACACAGCCGAAGGUGGUCCAGCAAGAGAUACAUUCCUUUGAAUUAUCUUUGUGUCGCAAGGAUAUGUUACAGGAAAACUAUAUUGAUAAUACAAUCGGAAAAACUGAACACAACAACCAGUAGGAGUGUACAACAUUUACCAAGGCCUGCCCUGACAAACCACCUUCUCUGUUACCAGGGCAGUUCUAUCAUACAGGUAGGGCCAAGGAACUGGAUCUGACGACCUUCAUGUACAAAUGACAGACGUCGGUGCCGCCACCAGGUUAUCCAUCUGGACAAGCCAAUGCGGUGUGCCAUGGCACAAAAUAUAGCAUCCUUAAAUAGCAGUAGCUUGGUAGUCAUAC
RNAcentral lists this long non-coding RNA (1384 nucleotides) under Triticum aestivum (bread wheat). RNAcentral describes it as "long non-coding RNA (TAES_LNC009859)". The record is from RNAcentral. Lineage: Eukaryota; Viridiplantae; Streptophyta; Magnoliopsida; Poales; Poaceae.